UACGUAGGGGGCAAGCGUUGUCCGGAUUUAUUGGGCGUAAAGAGCUCGUAGGCGGUUUGUCGCGUCUGCUGUGAAAGACCGGGGCUCAACUCCGGUUCUGCAGUGGGUACGGGCAGACUAGAGUGAUGUAGGGGAGACUGGAAUUCCUGGUGUAGCGGUGAAAUGCGCAGAUAUCAGGAGGAACACCGAUGGCGAAGGCAGGUCUCUGGGCAUUAACUGACGCUGAGGAGCGAAAGCAUGGGGAGCGAACAGG
RNAcentral lists this ribosomal RNA (253 nucleotides) under uncultured bacterium. Its description in RNAcentral is "partial 16S ribosomal RNA". It matches the Rfam family "Bacterial small subunit ribosomal RNA", at positions 524 to 776 of the family's 1533-position model. The record is from RNAcentral.